Molecule: ribosomal RNA, 457 nt
Filed under: uncultured Limnobacter sp.
Lineage: Bacteria; Pseudomonadati; Pseudomonadota; Betaproteobacteria; Burkholderiales; Burkholderiaceae
Description: bacterial SSU rRNA
Rfam family: Bacterial small subunit ribosomal RNA
Source: RNAcentral
CCCGCACAAGCGGUGGAUGAUGUGGAUAAUUCGAUGCAACGCGAAGAACCUUACCUACCCUUGACAUGUCCGGAACUUGCCAGAGAUGGCUUGGUGCCCGAAAGGGAAUCGGAACACAGGUGCUGCAUGGCUGUCGUCAGCUCGUGUCGUGAGAUGUUGGGUUAAGUCCCGCAACGAGCGCAACCCUUAUCAUUAGUUGCUACGCAAGGGCACUCUAAUGAGACUGCCGGUGACAAACCGGAGGAAGGUGGGGAUGACGUCAAGUCCUCAUGGCCCUUAUGGGUAGGGCUUCACACGUCAUACAAUGGUCGGUACAGAGGGUUGCCAACCCGCGAGGGGGAGCCAAUCCCAGAAAACCGAUCGUAGUCCGGAUUGCAGUCUGCAACUCGACUGCAUGAAGUCGGAAUCGCUAGUAAUCGCGGAUCAGCAUGUCGCGGUGAAUACGUUCCCGGGCCUU